RNAcentral lists this unclassified non-coding RNA (1001 nucleotides) under Hevea brasiliensis (rubber tree). The record is from RNAcentral. Lineage: Eukaryota; Viridiplantae; Streptophyta; Magnoliopsida; Malpighiales; Euphorbiaceae.
UAUACAUUGUGGUUAAUUGGAAAAUGCUUUUACAUUUUUUACAUUGAGAUAUCACUCAAAAGUCAUUAUCUAACACAAAGUUUCUAGUCUAUUUGAGUUCAAUCUAGAGCUAUAUACCGUUGAAUGUACUCAUUAAAUACGCAGAAGCUCAAAUCUUAUAACCACAUAAAAACCUUAUUAGAUUUUGCACAUCAAGGAGCAGGUUAUGGCAUAUGCUGUUUUGAAAUUUGUUUCUUCCUUGGCUUUUUCUCAUAUAAAGUUAUUGUCUUAUAUAAAUUUAAGAGUCAUAUUCGUCUUCAGAAAAUUUAACCAUUUUGAAGCUUUGCAUGUAAUUUUUCAGAUUAUUUCAAUUUUUAUGUUUAUUUGUUCGAUGAUCCUAUAUUUGUUUACGGGAAGCCUUUGUUUAUGAGUCUUAAUAUCCAAACAUGAUGUCAUAAGAUAUUCAUAAUGAUACAACCUCUGAAUGAGUUUUAACAAUUUGCCUUUGAACCAAAAGCAUUGGAAAAGUUUCAUGAAUAUCACAAUCAUAUGCCAUAAGGCUCCCAGUGUAUAGUUGACUGCCAGUGAAUUGAUACUAUCCGGAAUUAUGAGUUUGAACCUCAACUACAAGAUUUUUGGUGCCAUUUUGGUUAUUUUUCCACUGGAAAUUGCAUCAUAUUGAGCUUGACUAGGAUGUGGUCAGGUUUAAAUUUAGUCAACCUAAAAAAUUGUUAGUUAACUACUUAUUGGAUGAUCGACUUCUUGUAGUUAUUUGGGUGCAGAAUCUUUAACUUGAUUGUUCUUUACAUAGAUUUACCUUGAUCAAGACAGAACUAAGUUGUUUUAAGGUUCAUCAAAAUAGAAUCUGCCAGGAUUGAGACUUGGGGGAUCUGCUUUACUUUUGGCUUUGUUAGCAUAGGGGAAAUUUCAUAAAUUUAUCUGAACAUAAUUGCUAACAUGAGCCUUUUUUUUCGGAAAAAAUUAUUUUUAACCUUUAUGUUACUGCAGUUUGUUCAAAUUCA